This 493-nucleotide ribosomal RNA is filed under the name uncultured bacterium. Its description in RNAcentral is "partial 16S ribosomal RNA". It matches the Rfam family "Bacterial small subunit ribosomal RNA", at positions 28 to 507 of the family's 1533-position model. The record is from RNAcentral.
GACGAACGCUGGCGGUGUGCUUAACACAUGCAAGUGGUGCGACGAACCAGAGCUUGCUCUGGGGCAAAGCCGCGAACGGGUGAGUAACACGUGGGUAAUCUACCCCGAUGACCGGGACAACCCGAGGAAACUCGGGCUAAUACCGGAUGUGGUGCAGAGACAUAAGUCUCUUCACUAAAGGUAGCUUCGGCUUCCGCAUUGGGAGGGGCCCGCGGCCCAUUAGCUUGUUGGUGGGGUCAAGGCCUACCAAGGCAACGAUGGGUAGCUGGUCUGAGAGGACGAUCAGCCACACUGGGACUGAGACACGGCCCAGACUCCUACGGGAGGCAGCAGUGGGGAAUCUUGCGCAAUGCGCGAAAGCGUGACGCAGCAACACCGCGUGAGGGAAGAAGGCCUUAGGGUUGUAAACCUCUUUCAGAUGGGACGAAGGUUCUCCGGUGAAUAGCCGAGAGGAUUGACGGUACCGUCAGAAGAAGCUCCGGCUAACUACGUG